RNAcentral lists this ribosomal RNA (253 nucleotides) under uncultured bacterium. Its description in RNAcentral is "partial 16S ribosomal RNA". It matches the Rfam family "Bacterial small subunit ribosomal RNA", at positions 524 to 776 of the family's 1533-position model. The record is from RNAcentral.
UACGGAGGGUGCUAGCGUUGUUCGGAAUUACUGGGCGUAAAGGGCGCGUAGGCGGCCGUUUGCGUCGGAUGUGAAAGCCCGGGGCUCAACCUCGGAACGGCAUUCGAUACGGGACGGCUGGAGACCGGGAGAGGAGAGUGGAAUAGCCAGUGUAGAGGUGAAAUUCGUAGAUAUUGGCUGGAACACCGGUGGCGAAAGCGGCUCUCUGGCCCGGUUCUGACGCUGAGGAGCGAAAGCGUGGGGAGCAAACAGG